AGAUGCACACGGCUGGUAACAGAGCAACCGGGACCAAGGGACAACAAGAGCUCAGGAGAAGGGGAGAGACAGGUCGCCCAGAGAGUAGACAAUCCAGGGCUUGAGGAGGCUGGCUGUGCGGUUUAUUUUUUUCUCUCCACAAAGACACACACUGUCUAAACUGUGUGGCUGGUUGUUAUUAAGAAGCUGCUGCGAGAGGGAAAAAUGUAUUUAAUAAAAGGCCCUGUGUUUGUGGUCUUCUUGGGCUUGCUGUGAGCUCUGGAAAUCUUGAGGUGUGACCAGAUUUCAGUCUUCAAAACCAAGAUGGACUGCCCUUGAGAAGGGGUGGUCAGAGGGAAACAUGUUCACACUCUCCCUCCUGAGCCGGGGCCACGGGAAGCUGGGCCAGGACAAACAGAAGUUAGAAGUCUCCUUUGAACCAGAGGAUUACUUGAACUGGAGGUCCCAAGAAGACUAUGUUCCUGUCAGCAAGCCUCAAGAUAAGAACAAUGCCAGCCAGCACUCCUGGAGCCUCUUUCUCCCUAAAACUUUCAGCACUAGAAAGGGUGCCCUGAUCCUGUACUCAGAAGGUUUAGCCAUUUCGGCACGGACACCCAAAGAGAGGAGAAAAGGCCCCUACUGCCCCAGAGGUCCCUGGAGGAAGCUGGAUCUUGAACUGCACACACUUCAAGACCUCAAAGAAGCCAUCCUGGCAUAUGGAAGGCAACAGGGAGAGCAGGACAGAGCCUGGCAACCAUACCUCCACUUCCGAAGCCAGCUGGAGAGCCAGGCCCAACGGCAGAUCCAGCCAGGGCAUUCAGCCAAGAGAUACCUCCGAGGCCUCCUGCGGACUUGGCCCCCAGACGCCAUGUAUAGGCUCUGGUGCGCAGGGUACAUCAGGGAUUCUGUGCUGCUCCAGGACAGUCAACUUAAUGUACCAAAGAAGCUCAGGCCACAAGAAGAUCUUUCAGGUGUACCCCCAAAAUACCAUCUCCUGCCUGUCUUCCCUUCAUUUUGGAUUCAACAAGGAAAAUCUUUUGAACAAGGUCAACAGGGCCUGGAUGAAGGGGAAGCUGGAGCUGCUGGACACGUGGACCAGGGCCCUCUAGCCAAGAACCAUGGCCGUCAGGGGACUCGCUUGCCACCACGCAGGAAGCAGCCCUGGCAGGAAGAUGAAACGCAGUCAGAGGACACGUCAAUGGAGAAUCACCUUUGUUUAUAUGCUUCAAAGGAAAGCUACAAUGAAAAGACACAGCAAACCUCCAGGAAGGCCUUUGGGCAUGGCCGCAUCGAUCACUCUUGGCUCCCAAGUGACAAAUCCCACAUUACAUUCUGUGGAGGCGCCUUCCCUAAUAGGAAGGCAGAUCUCAGCGAUAAACAAAGGAACGUGAAACUCCACAAGGCCAGAAGCAGCCACUUGUUACAGGCGCUUCCUGCUGAAAGAUGCCUCUUCCCUCCUGUAGCAUCUGCCACUGGCUCUGGAAUGAUCACCCCUGGGGAAGUGAAGAAGAAAAAGGCACCAAAGGCUUUGAAAUUACCUCCUAUCUCAGAAGAACCACCCAGAGUCUUGGAGCCCCUGAAGAGCCAAUUUAAAGCCAAUGAGCCCCCAACAGAGCUCUUCAUCUUACCGGUGGAGAUUCAUUACCACACCAAACAACCCCCAAAAGAGAAAGCCCACAGAAGAGGUGCUCCACACCCUGAGUCAGAACCAGAAAGAAGCGAAGAAUCCACACCUGUGUGGAGACCUCCCCUGAAGCAUGCAUCCUUAGAAACGCCACGGGAGUUAACGGUGCAUCUCCCAGUGGACGCGAGCAGGGACACACUCUCACCUCAAGACGAUGAUGCCUCACCCCACGAUGUGGCCCCACCAUUGGAUCUUCUACCCCCGAUUAAAGGAAAAAAAAGUCCUGAGAGCCAGAAGGGCCUGGACAGCCCUAGGACAUCAGACCACAGCAGCCCCCCAAGUCUCCCAAACAUGAGAGCGCCCAGGAGGGCACUGCCAGCAGCUCAAGAUUCCAGCGACCCUACACUGGGACACUUCUUGCUGGGUCCAGAUGGAGAAAAAGUCUGCCUGUCCCUCCCAGGGUGUACCCAAACCGAGGCGCUUCCAUCGGGUAAAGCCUAUGAAUCUGUCAAUUCAAAUAUCAGCCAUGAAAAGGAAGGGCCUAGUAGUCAGCAUUUCCUAAAAGAGUCUCACUCUGUUGUGUCUGGAAUUGGUGGGUUCUUGGUCUCGCUGACUUCAAGAAUGAAGCCACAGACCUUCGUGCAAACACUGAACCUAGAGACAAUCUUCACAUGAAUCUUUAUGAAACCUCACCGUUGACCCAAACAACAGAGAAGCAGGGAGCCCAGCAGUCCUUGGAGGCAGCAACUCAGAAGACAGGAGAGCCUCAAAGUUGUAUAAAUAAAGGGCUGAUAUGUUCAAAG
This 2406-nucleotide small RNA is filed under the name Pongo abelii (Sumatran orangutan). RNAcentral's name for it is "processed transcript". Lineage: Eukaryota; Metazoa; Chordata; Mammalia; Primates; Hominidae. The record is from RNAcentral.